This 88-nucleotide microRNA precursor is filed under the name Picea abies (Norway spruce). RNAcentral describes it as "miR11423l stem-loop (pab-MIR11423l)". Lineage: Eukaryota; Viridiplantae; Streptophyta; Pinopsida; Pinales; Pinaceae. The record is from miRBase by way of RNAcentral.
ACGGCCAGGAAACGCCGUCGACCGUACCGUACGACAUUUCCCGAUUUGGAAACACCGUAUGGUACGGUCGACGACAUUUCCUGGCUGU